CUGGCUCAGGAUGAACGCUGGCGGCGUGCUUAACACAUGCAAGUCGAACGGAACGCCAAGGAAAGAGUUUUCGGACAAUGGAAUUGGCUGUUUAGUGGCGGACGGGUGAGUAACGCGUGAGUAACCUGCCUUGGAGUGGGGAAUAACACAGUGAAAACUGUGCUAAUACCGCAUGACAUAUUGGUGUCGCAUGGCACUGAUAUCAAAGAUUUAUCGCUCUGAGAUGGACUCGCGUCUGAUUAGAUAGUUGGCGGGGUAACGGCCCACCAAGUCGACGAUCAGUAGCCGGACUGAGAGGUUGGCCGGCCACAUUGGGACUGAGACACGGCCCAGACUCCUACGGGAGGCAGCAGUGGGGAAUAUUGGGCAAUGGGGGGAACCCUGACCCAGCAACGCCGCGUGAAGGAAGAAGGCCUUCGGGUUGUAAACUUCUAUCCUUGGUGAAGAGGAGAAGACGGUAGCCAAGAAGGAAGCCCCGGCUAACUACGUGCCAGCAGCCGCGGUAAUACGUAGGGGGCAAGCGUUGUCCGGAAUGAUUGGGCGUAAAGGGCGUGUAGGCGGCGAUUUAAGUCUGGAGUGAAAGUCCUGCUUUUAAGGUGGGAAUUGCUUUGGAUACUGGAUGGCUAGAGUGCAGGAGAGGUUAGUGGAAUUCCCAGUGUAGCGGUGAAAUGCGUAGAGAUUGGGAGGAACACCAGUGGCGAAGGCGACUAACUGGACUGUAACUGACGCUGAGGCGCGAAAGUGUGGGGAGCAAACAGGAUUAGAUACCCUGGUAGUCCACACUGUAAACGAUGAAUGCUAGGUGUAGGGGGUAUCGACCCCUUCUGUGCCGGAGUAAACACAAUAAGCAUUCCGCCUGGGGAGUACGGCCGCAAGGUUGAAACUCAAAGGAAUUGACGGGGGCCCGCACAAGCAGCGGAGCAUGUGGUUUAAUUCGAAGCAACGCGAAGAACCUUACCAGGUCUUGACAUCCAGUAAAAACCUGAGAGAUCAGGUGUCCCUUCGGGGGUACUGAGACAGGUGGUGCAUGGUUGUCGUCAGCUCGUGUCGUGAGAUGUUGGGUUAAGUCCCGCAACGAGCGCAACCCUUAUGAUUAGUUACUAACGCGUAAAGGCGAGGACUCUAAUGAGACUGCCGGGGACAACUCGGAGGAAGGUGGGGACGACGUCAAAUCAUCAUGCCCCUUAUGACCUGGGCUACACACGUGCUACAAUGGCCACUACAAAGAGGGGCGAACCCGCAAGGGGGAGCGGAUCUCAAAAAAGUGGUCCCAGUUCGGAUUGUGGGCUGCAACCCGCCCACAUGAAGUCGGAGUUGCUAGUAAUCGCGGAUCAGCAUGCCGCGGUGAAUACGUUCCCGGGCCUUGCACACACCGCCCGUCA
RNAcentral lists this ribosomal RNA (1382 nucleotides) under uncultured bacterium. RNAcentral's name for it is "16S ribosomal RNA". It matches the Rfam family "Bacterial small subunit ribosomal RNA". The record is from RNAcentral.